GGAGAAAAUAUUUUGCAUUCCAAGGACAAGUCUGCUGUUCCUGCAAACUCAUCGAUGCACAGGACAAAAAGACGAGCAAGUUAUUCGUUCAGGUUCAGAUAACCAAACAGACUUGCAUCCUGAAUUACAAGAUUUUUUUUCAAAAAAGACAUGUGUAUAAGAAAGAAAACAUCGAUCCAAAAGCACAUGUAUGAGCACAGAUAACUAGACUUCCCAUUUCUCACUUAUGCAGAUUAAAAGAGGGUAACUAGAACAAAUUCCAUUGUGUACACUAGUUUCAGAACAAUCUACUGCCUGGUUAGUUGGUGCAUAACACUACAUUCAGAUGAUCCCCAAGCCAUUCUCUACGUAAUCACUCAACUCUCUGAAAACAGAUCGCAUCCAUUACUAACUAAAAGCCAUCAAAAUCAUGCUGACAACAAAAGUGGCACCCUACAAUUUCUCCACAUUAGUACUCCUGCAGAAGAAAAAAACGCAUACAUUCAGUUACCUAUCUCUGACCAUCUACAAACAUUCCUUGGGCUUCUAAAAUAUCUUACAGGGUAACACACUAUAUGUGAAAAAUUCAAUCAGACUGAAAAUGAGGUCUACAUCCAGAACAAAAGAGUACUACAUUAAGACAAAGUUGAGGCCUACUUAGUGAACGAAAAUUGGGGGACACACACAUACAGGUGCCUGCAGCAAAUUCAGGGGCGUUCUAUGAUGAACCACUCAAAAAACUCCUCCAGGAUUGAAGAGAUUCAUGGGCAUUUCUGUUCUACCGCACACCUUCCUGGCCGAAACUACAAACAACUAAACCACCCCCUGCUAUGGAGGUCUGUGACCGGUGACAAACACGACGAACUGAAAUUCAGAGGGCAUAGACAUAUAGAACAGAAAAAGGGCAGCGGGAAGGAGCGUGAUACCUUGCGCCCCGAUGGCGCCGACGACUGCCGUCGCACCCACCGACUGAAGCUUGCUGGUGGCGGACAUGGCGGCGCAGCUCCGCCGAGCUCCUCUCCAAACCGACAUCUGACCUGCGUGCAGCCGGCACUGUGGAGCAUGCCUCCUGCUUACAAGCUCUCCUCGAGGAGGACUCGGCGCACGCCAUCUCUGUUGCUAAACACCGGCGAGGACGCCCCCGCCUCCCCUCCGCCGUCUCCG
Molecule: long non-coding RNA, 1143 nt
Filed under: Triticum aestivum (bread wheat)
Lineage: Eukaryota; Viridiplantae; Streptophyta; Magnoliopsida; Poales; Poaceae
Description: long non-coding RNA (TAES_LNC010954)
Source: RNAcentral